UUGUUUUGGCAGCACAUAUACUAAAAUUGGACCGAUACAGAGAAGAUUAGCAUGGUUCCUGUGCAGGGUGACACGCAAAUUCGUGAAGUGUUCCAUAUUUUU
Molecule: small nuclear RNA, 102 nt
Filed under: Physeter macrocephalus (sperm whale)
Lineage: Eukaryota; Metazoa; Chordata; Mammalia; Artiodactyla; Physeteridae
Source: RNAcentral